AUCGAACUGACGAAUCCCAAAUAGGACGAAACGCGCGUCCUGGAU
Schistosoma haematobium is the source of this 45-nucleotide non-coding RNA. The record is from Rfam. NCBI's taxonomy places the organism in Eukaryota, Metazoa, Platyhelminthes, Trematoda, Strigeidida, Schistosomatidae.